This is a non-coding RNA of Eubacterium uniforme, 410 nucleotides long. The record is from Rfam. Lineage: Bacteria; Bacillati; Bacillota; Clostridia; Eubacteriales; Eubacteriaceae.
UUUAACGAGAGUUUGAUCCUGGCUCAGGAUGAACGCUGGCGGCGUGCUUAACACAUGCAAGUCGAACGAAGCACUUUAUUUGAAACCUUCGGGUAGAUUAUUCUGUGACUUAGUGGCGGACGGGUGAGUAACGCGUGGGUAACCUGCCUCAUACACCGGGAUAACAGUUGGAAACGGCUGCUAAUACCGGAUAAGCAUACAGUACCGCAUGGUACAGUGUGAAAAACUCAGGUGGUAUGAGAUGGACCCGCGUCUGAUUAGCUAGUUGGUAAGGUAACGGCUUACCAAGGCGACGAUCAGUAGCCGACUUGAGAGAGUGAUCGGCCACAUUGGGACUGAGACACGGCCCAAACUCCUACGGGAGGCAGCAGUGGGGAAUAUUGCACAAUGGGGGGAACCCUGAUGCAGCG